RNAcentral lists this ribosomal RNA (589 nucleotides) under bacterium 44-L049616-122-011-D06. RNAcentral describes it as "bacterial SSU rRNA". It matches the Rfam family "Bacterial small subunit ribosomal RNA", at positions 60 to 644 of the family's 1533-position model. The record is from RNAcentral.
AGUCGAGCGGAUGAAGAGAGCUUGCUCUCUGAUUCAGCGGCGGACGGGUGAGUAAUGCCUAGGAAUCUGCCUGGUAGUGGGGGACAACGUCUCGAAAGGGACGCUAAUACCGCAUACGUCCUACGGGAGAAAGCAGGGGACCUUCGGGCCUUGCGCUAUCAGAUGAGCCUAGGUCGGAUUAGCUAGUUGGUGAGGUAAUGGCUCACCAAGGCGACGAUCCGUAACUGGUCUGAGAGGAUGAUCAGUCACACUGGAACUGAGACACGGUCCAGACUCCUACGGGAGGCAGCAGUGGGGAAUAUUGGACAAUGGGCGAAAGCCUGAUCCAGCCAUGCCGCGUGUGUGAAGAAGGUCUUCGGAUUGUAAAGCACUUUAAGUUGGGAGGAAGGGCAUUAACCUAAUACGUUGAUGUUUUGACGUUACCGACAGAAUAAGCACCGGCUAACUCUGUGCCAGCAGCCGCGGUAAUACAGAGGGUGCAAGCGUUAAUCGGAAUUACUGGGCGUAAAGCGCGCGUAGGUGGUUUGUUAAGUUGAAUGUGAAAUCCCCGGGCUCAACCUGGGAACUGCAUCCAAAACUGGCAAGCUAG